RNAcentral lists this unclassified non-coding RNA (239 nucleotides) under uncultured fungus. RNAcentral describes it as "sequence contains ITS1". The record is from RNAcentral. Lineage: Eukaryota; Fungi.
UUAUUUUUUUUAUACUAAUAAAUCAGACAAUAUAUAUUUCUUCACGAAUUUUUUAUUUGGAUUCUAUCCACUGGCAGCUUCCUAGCUAGAGCUAAAUAAAUAUAAAACUAGAGGACCAACUUUUUGUAUAUACAAUUGCCGGUCUGUCCAAUGGAAGCAACAUGGUAAAUGAUAAACAAAGGGGUUUUUAAUAAUACAAACUAUCAAUAAUGAUCCUUCCGCAGGUUCACCUACAGAAA